RNAcentral lists this non-coding RNA (181 nucleotides) under Bacillus coahuilensis. RNAcentral describes it as "Lysine sequence". It matches the Rfam family "Lysine riboswitch aptamer". Rfam says of the family: Riboswitches are metabolite binding domains within certain messenger RNAs that serve as precision sensors for their corresponding targets. Allosteric rearrangement of mRNA structure is mediated by ligand binding, and this results in modulation of gene expression. This family includes riboswitches that sense lysine in a number of genes involved in lysine metabolism, including lysC. The record is from RNAcentral. Lineage: Bacteria; Bacillati; Bacillota; Bacilli; Caryophanales; Bacillaceae. RNAcentral also lists the same sequence under 1 other name.
AGUGGUGAUAGAGGUGCGAAGAUCAAGAGUAUUCUCUUCUUGAAAGGAUGAGCUUUCCAAAAGAAGAAGUAAGAAAGGGUGAUUCGCCGAAGUAUAUUUGUUCUCAUAAACAAAUGUACUGGUUGUGCAUUUAAUAGAUGUACGACUGUCAAGAUGUUGAUCUUGGAGAGCUAUCUCACGC